Molecule: ribosomal RNA, 676 nt
Filed under: uncultured Bacteroidota bacterium
Lineage: Bacteria; Pseudomonadati; Bacteroidota
Description: bacterial SSU rRNA
Rfam family: Bacterial small subunit ribosomal RNA
Source: RNAcentral
GGAUCCAGACCCUUUUCGUGGCUCAGGAUGAACGCUAGCUACAGGCUUAACACAUGCAAGUCGAGGGGAAACGACAUCGAAAGCUUGCUUUUGAUGGGCGUCGACCGGCGCACGGGUGAGUAACGCGUAUCCAACCUGCCCAUCACUUGGGAAUAACCUUGCGAAUGUAAGACUAAUACCCAAUGACAUCCCACGAAGGCAUCCGAAUGGGAUUAAAGAUUUAUCGGUGAUGGAUGGGGAUGCGUCUGAUUAGCUUGUUGGCGGGGUAACGGCCCACCAAGGCAACGAUCAGUAGGGGUUCUGAGAGGAAGGCCCCCCACAUUGGAACUGAGACACGGUCCAAACUCCUACGGGAGGCAGCAGUGAGGAAUAUUGGUCAAUGGGCGAGAGCCUGAACCAGCCAAGUAGCGUGCAGGAAGACGGCCCUAUGGGUUGUAAACUGCUUUUAUAAGGGAAUAAAGUGAGUCUCGUGAGACUUUUUGCAUGUACCUUAUGAAUAAGGACCGGCUAAUUCCGUGCCAGCAGCCGCGGUAAUACGGAAGGUCCGGGCGUUAUCCGGAUUUAUUGGGUUUAAAGGGAGCGUAGGCCGGAGAUUAAGCGUGUUGUGAAAUGUAGUGGCUCAACCUCUGCACUGCAGCGCGAACUGGUCUUCUUGAGUACGCACAACGUGGGCGGA